This 253-nucleotide ribosomal RNA is filed under the name uncultured bacterium. Its description in RNAcentral is "partial 16S ribosomal RNA". It matches the Rfam family "Bacterial small subunit ribosomal RNA", at positions 524 to 776 of the family's 1533-position model. The record is from RNAcentral.
UACGUAGGGGGCAAGCGUUGUCGGGAUUUAUUGGGCGUGAAGCGCGCGCAGGCGGUCUCUUAAGUCUGAUGUGAAAGCCCACGGCUCAACCGUGGAAGGUCAUUGGAAACUGGGAGACUUGAGUGUAGGAGAGGAAAGUGGAAUUCCACGUGUAGCGGUGAAAUGCGUAGAGAUGUGGAGGAACACCAGUGGCGAAGGCGACUUUCUGGCCUAUAACUGACGCUGAGGCGCCAAAGCGUGGGGAGCAAACAGG